GACUUUACCAUCUUAAAAAUAUUACUAGAAAAAUUCAUGGAGGCUUUUAUUCAAAUGACAUGCUAUGAAAACUAAGCAAAACGCAAAGUGUAAAAGCAAAAUGCAAAUUUAAGAAAGUGUAACUAACGAAAUGUAUAAAGCAAAAAGAAUUUAUUAAAGAAAAUACUAAACACAAAGCAUGAAUUAAAAUACAAAAGUAAGUGAAAUUGGAACCAACUCCCCUUUAAUUCCCGGUGGUUGAAGAAGAUUCAAAAGAAGAAGUCACCCCGGAAGUGGAGUAAUCGUGGAUACAGACAAAUCCUUUUUAUUCUUCACUUUUCCAUUGCACAUUCUUUCCGAAGGCCGAAGGCGGUUCAAUUUGUAAAAUAUGGUACCCAAAUAAGCACUAAAUAAUAGGAUUAUUGAGAAAUAAUUUUAUUGAAAUUUUUAAAAAUUUUUUGGGAUUUAUUCGGAGUUCGUGUAGCUUUAUUUAGAAAGGAUACACUUAUAAGCUCGAGAAAAAGAUUGUUUGGAAUACCCAGAGGUGGGAGUUGAUUAAUUUGAUUAACGUAUAGUUGAAUUAAUCAAAGCCUAAGUUAUAAAAUUACACCUAACCCCUAAUCCCCUAAUUCCCGAUCCCUUCUCUCCUCACCCCUCUCGUGCCAAAUCCUCAUCCCAAGCCCUCGCGAUGCCGCCUCCCCAUCGCCGAACCUCUUCUCCCCAAAUCCACCACCGGCUCUCCUCUCUUCUGGUGAGCCAUAGCCGCUGGUCUCCUCUCUUCCUCGCGCACGAGCACCACAGCCAGGCUCCCUCUCCCUCUCGUGGUUUUCCUCACCAAAACCGCUGGACCUUUUCUGCGCAUGAGCAUCCCAGCAGCCGGCGACCUCUCCUCCUCACGCCAGUACCAGAGAUGCCGCAACAAGCCAAUGACCAACGCGACGCCUCUCCAUCACUGGCUGUCGUGCCCUAAUACCGAGUUCCUUGGCGAUUUUCUCUUUCGUUGGUCACUAGGUUUCGUGGAGGUGGGUGUCGAUUGGAGAGGAAGCUGUGGACGUUAAGUUUUGGAUUUUGAUUCGAUACGGGUGAUUUGACGUUGGGUUGGUUUGGCACGAUUUACGUAUAAAGGUAGCAGUAGAUGAUUCAUGGAUGCUUGGAGAGAUGUCGGCUGCCAUUCCUGAGUCUUGCAUUAUAUUAGUUUUAUUUCUACUUUACUUGUAUUUUUAGUAUAGAGCGAUUUUAGUAUUGUAUGAAUUGGUCUAUGUUUGGAGUUUGAUUCGUGGUGUUUUACUUUCGUGAUCUUAUGGUUGUGUAAGCCUAAUUGGUUAGUAAACUUUGGUUGUGGAUUGUGGGUUUU
Molecule: long non-coding RNA, 1333 nt
Organism: Zingiber officinale
Lineage: Eukaryota; Viridiplantae; Streptophyta; Magnoliopsida; Zingiberales; Zingiberaceae
Exons: 3
Source: RefSeq, a predicted model, not a curated record